This is a long non-coding RNA of Neopsephotus bourkii (Bourke's parrot), 1602 nucleotides long. RefSeq lists it as uncharacterized. The transcript is spliced from 4 exons. The record is from RefSeq and is a predicted model, not a curated record. NCBI's taxonomy places the organism in Eukaryota, Metazoa, Chordata, Aves, Psittaciformes, Psittacidae.
CCUCACGCUGCCUUUGCUUGAACUUCAGAUUGCCAUAGUGCAUGACAGCCCCCGUCAGCUUGUAGAUGGAUGUCUUCUCUUCAGCAGUGAAGCCAAGUAUGUCAAUGGCAGUCUGGCAACAGAAACAGGUCUGGAACCCACUGGGACUAGAAGGAAACCACAGCACAGUUAAAAGAGAAUGAGAGAUAUCCCUGGAUACAGAUGGUCCUGCACAGAUACAUGGUGUGGUCAAAGUGCUGGAGGGAUGCCAUCCAAGAUUGCUGAAAAGUGAUCCCAUCCCACUUUCUGAUUUUUAGCUUUCAGGUGUUGUUGUUGGCCAUGCUGUCAUUAUGGUAGGACCUAUCGAGACAGAUCAGUUCUCUCUAAGGCUGUCAUGGACAGUCUGACAAAGAAUGCCCAGCCUCUGCUGGCCUCUGUGUAAAAUGAGAGCUCACAGGAAUGUUAGCACAAGACAAGCAGAAAUGUCAGAACACUGUUCUGUAGCAAAACUGUUCAUCCCUACACUUCUGCUAGGAUGUGGCUGGACACUGAACUCUAGAGAUGGUAAGAGCACAUUUUCCGUAUUAAAAGCUUCUUUAUGAAUUCAAUGUAGAUUUGCGAAGGUGCAUGCUUUCAACAUUGUGUGCAGAAUGUGCUCAGUCCAUAUUUUUGAUGUGUCACUGCUUAGGAAAUGUGCCAUUAAACUAUCAUUUCUGAUAAAUGUGGCUGAAAGAAUAGGCUGAGAGAAUUGCUGGAAGCUAUGAUGUCCUAGGAAGAACUACUGAGGAUCAUAGCUACUGAGACUUGAAACCUGCUGGUUUUAAAAUAGUGUGAACCACCAAUGAAUGGCAAAUGUAAGCAAAAAUGCAGGGUCUACAUGUGAGCACUUGGGAAGACAAGCUGAUGUCACUGGCUAGCCAGAACAGGGCUAUAAUAGCCUUGCUAUCCCCUGUCCCUUCUGCUCUAUUCAGAAACUAAAUCUGCAGAUCUUAACACAGUUGGGAUUUAUCUUCACUGCAUGUCAAGCAAAGUGAGUGCAUCCGUCCUAGGGGGAACUUUGAUAACUAAUUUGUCUCUUAGUUUCUCACAGUGUAUUCUUGGAAGUUCUCAGCAUAAGUUAACUGAACAUAAGAGUCAAAUAAAACCCACAGGCCAGGAUUAGAGAAUGGGCAGCUUUCAAAUGUGCACUCACCAUAGGUGCCCCAUUACUCACACUCCUUCUGUCUCCACAGCUAACAUCAGUGGAAAAGAUCUGGGCAGUAAAUUCUGGCCAAGGAGAUGACAUUCAGGAUGCCCUUUCUAUCACCCAUCAAAGCAGCUGAGGGUCUCCUGUUACACAGCAGAAGACGCCUACAAAUUAAGCUCUACUGGGGAUAUUGUAGACUAACACUGAGAUUAGCCCUUGCUGAGGAAAGCAAACAUUCACAUCCAGCAGUAUACAAAGGAUACUUAUACCAAUAUGUGCAGUAAUAAGAUGAGCCAUUUUUGCAACUGUUUGACAUUGUUGAGUUGGAUAAAAUGUUGCCCUUAAUUCCUUUUCUCCCUGUCUCAGAUGAAAAAGCCCGUGCAUUUCCCUGUCUGAUUUCAUCCUCCAAAAGUACUCUGUUUACCUUCAUUAAAUUU